CACCUCUGGGCUGGGAAAAACAGACAGCAGCAUAUUAAGAGCCAACCCUGAAGGGGUGUAGGAAGAGGUAGGCCUUGUGGGGAGAGGAUAAGCGUGAAAGAGGGGAGAGGAAGGCGGAGAGGAGAGAGAGCAACUAUCUCUGUCUUGUUCUUUAUCUCGUACUUGAGGUUCCAUUCGUCUUCUUGGUUCUUUUUCUCUUGAUUGCAGCUGUGCCACUACAUGGAUCCUAAGCUACCUGCUUCUGAAGUUUCCGAGGAAAAAGCUCGUCAAUCACUGAUCCAAAUCUCCCAGACAGAUCCAGCACAAGCCUUAGACUCAAAAUUGCCACACAACAACCUGAUUGCGUCCAAUGCUGUUCCGAACAGAGAUGCUCAAAAGAUUGAGGAAUAUAGGUUGAAGUUAAUGUCCAUUUCCGAUAUUGAAAACCCUGAUAUUAUUGCCUAAAUGUGGCUUCUCAAUUUGAAACUGCCGCUAGUUGAACCUGCAAAGCUAGUAGUAGACACAUGCUUUCAGGUUUCUGCUUGUCGGUUUAUAAAUGGAAGCCUGCACUUCAAACAGCUCUUACCAAGUGAUUGGGAAUCCCUUUUUCUAUUCCUUGUGCUUCAAUUGUAUGUUCUCCAAGUACUUGUACCCAGAAGUUUAUUUCUUGAUCAUUCUGACCAACAUAUGACAGACAAUAUAGACUCUGUUUUGGAUA
Long non-coding RNA from Nymphaea colorata (pocket water lily), 697 nucleotides. RefSeq lists it as uncharacterized. The transcript is spliced from 2 exons. Lineage: Eukaryota; Viridiplantae; Streptophyta; Magnoliopsida; Nymphaeales; Nymphaeaceae. The record is from RefSeq and is a predicted model, not a curated record.